This 102-nucleotide ribosomal RNA is filed under the name uncultured bacterium. RNAcentral's name for it is "partial 16S ribosomal RNA". It matches the Rfam family "Bacterial small subunit ribosomal RNA", at positions 1367 to 1482 of the family's 1533-position model. The record is from RNAcentral.
UACGUUCCCGGGUCUUGUACACACUGCCCGUCACGCCAUGGGAGUUGGUUAUACCUGAAGUCGCCCUUAAAGGCGCCCACGGUAUGAUCAAUGACUGGGGUG